AGUUUGAUUAUGGCUCAGGACGAACGCUGGCGGCGUUGCUUAACACAUGCAAGUCGAACGAUGAAGCGGUGCUUUGCACCGUGGAUUAGUGGCGAACGGGUGAGUAAUACGUGAGUGACCUACCUUUGACUCUGGGAUAAGCCUGGGAAACUGGGUCUAAUACCGGAUACGACCAAUCCUCUGCAUGGGGUGUUGGUGGAAAGCGUUAUGGAGUGGUUUUAGAUGGGCUCACGGCCUAUCAGCUUGUUGGUGAGGUAAUGGCUUACCAAGGCGACGACGGGUAGCCGGCCUGAGAGGGUGACCGGCCACACUGGGACUGAGACACGGCCCAGACUCCUACGGGAGGCAGCAGUGGGGAAUAUUGCACAAUGGGCGCAAGCCUGAUGCAGCGACGCCGCGUGAGGGAUGACGGCCUUCGGGUUGUAAACCUCUGUUAGCAUCGAAGAAGCGAAAGUGACGGUAGGUGCAGAGAAAGCGCCGGCUAACUACGUGCCAGCAGCCGCGGUAAUACGUAGGGCGCGAGCGUUGUCCGGAAUUAUUGGGCGUAAAGAGCUUGUAGGCGGUUGGUCGCGUCUGCUGUGAAAGGCCGGGGCUUAACUCCGGUUUUGCAGUGGGUACGGGCUAACUAGAGUGCAGUAGGGGAGACUGGAAUUCCUGGUGUAGCGGUGGAAUGCACAGAUAUCAGGAGGAACACCGAUGGCGAAGGCAGGUCUCUGGGCUGUAACUGACGCUGAGAAGCGAAAGCAUGGGGAGCGAACAGGAUUAGAUACCCUGGUAGUCCAUGCCGUAAACGUUGGGCACUAGGUGUGGGGGACAUUCCACGUUUUCCGCGCCGUAGCUAACGCAUUAAGUGCCCCGCCUGGGGAGUACGGCCGCAAGGCUAAAACUCAAAGGAAUUGACGGGGGCCCGCACAAGCGGCGGAGCAUGCGGAUUAAUUCGAUGCAACGCGAAGAACCUUACCAAGGCUUGACAUGCAUUAGAUCGCGCCAGAGAUGGCGUUUCCCUUCGGGGCUGGUGUACAGGUGGUGCAUGGUUGUCGUCAGCUCGUGUCGUGAGAUGUUGGGUUAAGUCCCGCAACGAGCGCAACCCUCGUUCUAUGUUGCCAGCGGUUCGGCCGGGGACUCAUAGGAGACUGCCGGGGUCAACUCGGAGGAAGGUGGGGAUGACGUCAAAUCAUCAUGCCCCUUAUGUCUUGGGCUUCACGCAUGCUACAAUGGCCGGUACAGAGGGUUGCGAUACUGUGAGGUGGAGCUAAUCCCUUAAAGCCGGUCUCAGUUCGGAUUGGGGUCUGCAACUCGACCCCAUGAAGUCGGAGUCGCUAGUAAUCGCAGAAUCAGCAACGCUGCGGUGAAUACGUUCCCGGGCCUUGUACACACCGCCCGUC
RNAcentral lists this ribosomal RNA (1385 nucleotides) under uncultured bacterium. RNAcentral describes it as "bacterial SSU rRNA". It matches the Rfam family "Bacterial small subunit ribosomal RNA". The record is from RNAcentral.